RNAcentral lists this ribosomal RNA (494 nucleotides) under uncultured bacterium. Its description in RNAcentral is "bacterial SSU rRNA". It matches the Rfam family "Bacterial small subunit ribosomal RNA", at positions 903 to 1397 of the family's 1533-position model. The record is from RNAcentral.
AAAGGAAUAGACGGGGGCCCGCACAAGCGGAGGAACAUGUGGUUUAAUUCGAUGAUACGCGAGGAACCUUACCUGGGCUUAAAUGUAGACUGCAUUAAUGGGAAACCAUUAUUUCCUUCGGGACUGUCUGCAAGGUGCUGCAUGGUUGUCGUCAGCUCGUGCCGUGAGGUGUCGGGUUAAGUCCCAUAACGAGCGCAACCCUUAUCGUUAGUUGCCAGCGGGUAAAGCCGGGGACUCUAGCGAAACUGCCGGUGUAAACCGAGAGGAAGGUGGGGAUGACGUCAAAUCAGCACGGCCCUUAUGUCCAGGGCUACACACGUGUUACAAUGGCCGGUACAGAGGGCAGCUAUGCUGUGAGGCAAUGCGAAUCUCGAAAGCCGGUCUCAGUUCGGAUCGGAGUCUGCAACUCGACUCCGUGAAGCUGGAUUCGCUAGUAAUCGCGCAUCAGCCAUGGCGCGGUGAAUACGUUCCCGGGCCUUGUACACACCGCCCGU